This is a long non-coding RNA of Vigna unguiculata (cowpea), 454 nucleotides long. RefSeq lists it as uncharacterized. Lineage: Eukaryota; Viridiplantae; Streptophyta; Magnoliopsida; Fabales; Fabaceae. The record is from RefSeq and is a predicted model, not a curated record.
CCAUUCCCCUCCAUUUUCCUUUCUCUCUCUCACUACCAUACCUAUCCCAUUUCUCCUCCACCCAAGACGCUGGCCAAGAACACGAACGAAGGCAGUGCAGCCCAUUCAUCACUUCGCGUCUCUCUUCCACCGUGACCUCCACCACUUCGCGUCUCUCCUCCACCGUGGCAUCCACCACGUUGCUGGCCAGGAACACGAAGGGAGUGCAGCAGUGAGAGAACGCAGUGCAGGGAGAACACAAAGCCACCAUCGAACUCCGAUUCGCGGACGAUUCCGACGGCCACGAUCACCGCGAAGACAGACAAUCUGUCCAUUUUCUUGCAUUAUCCAAAAAGGGUUUGUAUUGAUGCUACAGCAGUGACCUUCAUGACUUGUAGAGAGCAAAACAUCAUUUAUAUGUGUUUUUAAUAUUUUCAUUUUCUUGUUUAAUAAAUCAUUGUUGUUGUAUUCUUCA